RNAcentral lists this ribosomal RNA (1120 nucleotides) under Campylobacter gracilis. RNAcentral describes it as "bacterial SSU rRNA". It matches the Rfam family "Bacterial small subunit ribosomal RNA", at positions 324 to 1464 of the family's 1533-position model. The record is from RNAcentral. Lineage: Bacteria; Pseudomonadati; Campylobacterota; Epsilonproteobacteria; Campylobacterales; Campylobacteraceae.
ACACGGUCCAAACUCCUACGGGAGGCAGCAGUAGGGAAUAUUGCGCAAUGGGGGAAACCCUGACGCAGCAACGCCGCGUGGAGGAUCACACUUUUCGGACCGUAAACUCCUUUUGUUAGGGAAGAAUAAUGACGGUACCUAACGAAUAAGCACCGGCUAACUCCGUGCCAGCAGCCGCGGUAAUACGGAGCGUGCAAGCGUUACUCGGAAUCACUGGGCGUAAAGGACGCGUAGGCGGAUUAUCAAGUCUCUUGUGAAAUCUAACGGCUUAACCGUUAAACUGCUUGGGAAACUGAUAAUCUAGAGUAAGGGAGAGGCAGAUGGAAUUCUUGGUGUAGGGGUAAAAUCCGUAGAUAUCAAGAAGAAUACCUAUUGCGAAGGCGAUCUCCAGGAACUUAACUGACGCUAAUGCGUGAAAGCGUGGGGAGCAAACAGGAUUAGAUACCCUGGUAGUCCACGCCCUAAACGAUGUAUACCGGUUGUUGCUGUGCAAGUCACGCCAGUAAUCCACCUAACGGAAUAAGUAUACCCCCUGGGGAGUACGGACGCAAGAAUAAAACUCAAAGGAAAAGACGGGGACCCGCACAAGCGGUGGAGCAUGUGGAUUAAUUCCAAGAAACGCGAAGAACCUUACCCGGACUUGAUAUCUAACAAAUCAUCCAGAGAUGGAAGAGUGUCUGCUUGCAGAAAUGUUAAGACAGGUGCUGCACGCCUGUCGUCAGCUCGUGUCCUGAGAUGUUGGGUUAAGUCCCGCAACGAGCGCAACCCACGUCAUUAGUUGCUAACGGUUCGGCCGAGCACUCUAAUGAGACUGCCUACGUAAGGAGGAGGAAGGUGUGGACGACGUCAACUCAUCAUGGCCCUAAUGUCCGGGGCGACACACGUGCUACAAUGGCAUAUACAAUAAGACGCAAUAUCGUAAGAUGGAGCAAAUCUAAAAAAUAUGUCCCAGUUCGGAUUGGAGUCAGCAACUCGACUCCAUGAACCCGGAAUCGCUAGUAAACGUAGAUCAGCCAUGCUACGGUGAAUACGUUCCCGGGUCAUGUACUCACCGCCCGUCACACCAUGGGAGUUGAUUUCACUCGAAGCGGGAAUGCGAAAUUCGCUACCCUCCACAGUG